GACGAACGCUGGCGGCGUGCUUAACACAUGCAAGUCGAACGGAAAGGCCCUGCUUUUGUGGGGUGCUCGAGUGGCGAACGGGUGAGUAACACGUGAGUAACCUGCCCUUGACUUUGGGAUAACUUCAGGAAACUGGGGCUAAUACCGGAUAGGAGCUCCUGCUGCAUGGUGGGGGUUGGAAAGUUUCGGCGGUUGGGGAUGGACUCGCGGCUUAUCAGCUUGUUGGUGGGGUAGUGGCUUACCAAGGCUUUGACGGGUAGCCGGCCUGAGAGGGUGACCGGCCACAUUGGGACUGAGAGACGGCCCAGACUCCUACGGGAGGCAGCAGGGGGGAAUAUUGCACAAUGGGCGGAAGCCUGAUGCAGCAACGCCGCGUGCGGGAUGACGGCCUUCGGGUUGUAAACCGCUUUCGCCUGUGACGAAGCGUGAGUGACGGUAAUGGGUAAAGAAGCACCGGCUAACGACG
Molecule: ribosomal RNA, 466 nt
Filed under: uncultured bacterium
Lineage: Bacteria
Description: partial 16S ribosomal RNA
Rfam family: Bacterial small subunit ribosomal RNA
Source: RNAcentral